Molecule: long non-coding RNA, 240 nt
Filed under: Hordeum vulgare
Lineage: Eukaryota; Viridiplantae; Streptophyta; Magnoliopsida; Poales; Poaceae
Description: long non-coding RNA (HVUL_LNC007464)
Source: RNAcentral
CUUGAUCAUCUUAUUAUUAUUAUUAUUCGUCUUUUUUCUCCUCCUCCUCCUCCUUCUCUUCUUCUUCUUCUUCUUCUUUCUUUUAUCUUUCUCCUCCUCUCCUCUUUCUUCUUCUUCUUCUUCUUCUUCUUCUUCUUCUUCUUCUUCUUCUUAUUCUUCUUCUUCUUCUUUUUUCUUCUAGUUUAUUAUUCUCUUAUUUUCUUCUAUGAUUUUUUCUAUCUAUUUUUUUUCUUUUCUAUC